This 427-nucleotide ribosomal RNA is filed under the name uncultured Acidobacteriota bacterium. RNAcentral's name for it is "bacterial SSU rRNA". It matches the Rfam family "Bacterial small subunit ribosomal RNA", at positions 958 to 1385 of the family's 1533-position model. Lineage: Bacteria; Pseudomonadati; Acidobacteriota. The record is from RNAcentral.
AACGCGAAGAACCUUACCUGGGCUUGAACCGCACAGGACCCUCCCUAGAAAUAGGGACUUCCCGCAAGGGACCUGUGUAGAGGUGCUGCAUGGCUGUCGUCAGCUCGUGCCGUGAGGUGUUGGGUUAAGUCCCGCAACGAGCGCAACCCUUACUCGUAGUUGCCACCCGCAAGGGGGAACUCUACGAGGACUGCUCCGGAUAACGGAGAGGAAGGUGGGGAUGAGGUCAAGUCAGCAUGGCCUUUAUGUCCAGGGCUACACACGUGUUACAAUGCGCGCCACAAAGCGUCGCGAACCCGCGAGGGGGAGCUAAUCGCAAAAAAGCGCGCUCAGUUCGGAUUGCAGUCUGCAACUCGACUGCAUGAAGCCGGAAUCGCUAGUAAUGGCGCAUCAGAACGGCGCCGUGAAUACGUUCCCGGGCCUUGUA